This is a long non-coding RNA of Parus major (Great Tit), 1901 nucleotides long. NCBI's taxonomy places the organism in Eukaryota, Metazoa, Chordata, Aves, Passeriformes, Paridae. The record is from Ensembl.
AUGGAAUGGGGUGCACUAUGGGGUGAGAAGGGGAUAAAAAUGCUGUGUGCAAGCACAAUAAAGGCUUGGAUGAAGUUUCUUAUGGAUCUGCUUUGUGUCACGUCUGCUCCCACAGCAGCGUCUGGUGACGUGAAGCACGACAGACCCGUGGGGACGGACAGGGGGAGCAGAGCCCUGCAGGACCCAGAGAGCAGCGAGGGGAGCGGCCAAAGGAGAAUUUGGCAUCCGGAGUUGGAACUCCAGGUGAACCACAGGGAGUACAGACCGGUGAGGCCUCUGGCAUCUGGCAUAUUUACCAGACAGUGGAAAGCCGUUGGGGACAGACUGUGGGAUGUGAUCUCGCAAGGGGACAAAGCAGCUGUAAAUUUAGCUACGACGUGGAGACAGCUUUAUGAUGUUUUAAGAGAGUGGAGGAUGAAGCAGAAGGUGCAACGAGAGCCAGGGCAAGGCACGGGAGCCGGUGGGCAACAACAGAUGGCUGAGGUUCGGUCUGGUGCUGUGCCCCUCCCUGGGGGACAGCCUGUGGGAGUCGCUUCCGUGGGGGCUUCGUCAGGCUCUGCUGAUGCGGGGACCGAGCGGUCACGGAGCAAUACCACCCGAUAUUUGUCUCCCAGAGACCGUGUACAACCGGUGUAUCCUUCUCCUGCACAGCAGGAGUUAAACACGAGGCGCAAAUACCUUCCUCCUGCCCGGCAGUUAGCAGAGCUGACCUUGAGAGAGACACAAGCCCAGCCGUCUGCCCCCCCGCUUUCUUCUGAGUCAGGUGAAGGAACGGAGCUGUUUAGAGUCUCUGCUCCAUUACCUGAUUCUAGCAGAGAUGAUGAUGAAUUGCCAGAGAUGAGAAACUCUGACCAGAAGCGUGGAUCUGCUUCUCGUAAAUCUCGUAGUAGAUCUAAGCUUGCUGCUCCCUGGACUUUACCUUCUUGUGAAGUGUCUGUGGUGCCACUCAACCCUGCCCAGUUUUGGGAAUCUGUCAAGGAAAAGGCAAUGGAGAUGUGUGAUGGGAACUUAAUAGAAAAACCAGGUCUGCCAGCAACGACCAAUGCACCGAGUGCUGAUACAGAUGUUGUUAGUAAUGAUCACACAGCCUUUCCUGCUCCCAAAGCAAUUCCUAACACAGGACAGAAUUAUACACAUAAAACAUUUUCCUGGGGAUUUGUUAAAUCCCUUCUGUCAAAGGUCGCCCGAUUUGGUGUUAAUUCUCCUGAGGUAAUGCAAUUGGUUCAUGUUAUUAAUGUUUAUAGGCUUGCUCCACGUGACAUAAGACACCUUGCUAUGAUUUUGUUUGAACCUGUACUGUAUGAUACAUUUCAACAUAUGUGGAGGGAGUUAGUUGAGAGUGCUGCCUUAAACAAUAUGAAACUCCCACAGCAACACCCCUGUCAUGGGGUGGGAGUUGAUGCCUUGAUGGGUACUGGGCCUUUUGAUGACCCACAGUUACAGGCCCAGUGGGAUCCUUUGGUUUUGGCACAGGCUCAACAAAUAGGCAUCAGUGCUCUAAUUAAAGCAAUGGAGCUGGCACCUCCAAAACAGAAAUGUUUUACUCCCGAAGAGCAAGGAUGGGGAAUGGCACAAUGCCCAAAAAAUAAUGAGCAAAAGAUGAAAGCUAAAACAAAUUUGAGCUGUAAGACUAUUUGCAAUCGCUGUGGUAAAUCUGGACACUACACUAAACAAUGCAAACAGAAAGCUGUUGCAGGGAAACUGGAAGAAGAGCACAAAGCAGUGUGGGGGGACAAAUACGCCAACAACCACGAGUUCUCCCAGCACUGAAAAGCUGUCAAUUUGUGGACAAUAUUCAGGGGCCAUAAGGGGCUCCACAGAGGUAAAUACAUAGAUAUACCCACUAUGUACACAGUAACUAUUGCAAUAAAGCAAAUAUGUACAGUUCCUCUUGAUGCCUG